Molecule: ribosomal RNA, 495 nt
Filed under: uncultured bacterium
Lineage: Bacteria
Description: bacterial SSU rRNA
Rfam family: Bacterial small subunit ribosomal RNA
Source: RNAcentral
GAUGAACGCUAGCGGCAGGCCUAAUACAUGCAAGUCGAGGGGCAGCGCGGUAGCAAUACUGGCGGCGACCGGCGCACGGGUGCGUAACACGUAUGCAACCUACCUUCAACAGGAGGAUAGCCCGGGGAAACUCGGAUUAAUACUCCAUAACACAGGGAUCCCGCAUGGGAAUAUUGUUAAAGCUACGGCGGUUGAAGAUGGGCAUGCGUUCGAUUAGCUAGUUGGUGUAGGUAACGGCUCACCAAGGCUACGAUCGAUAGGGGGUCUGAGAGGAUGAUCCCCCACACUGGUACUGAGAUACGGACCAGACUCCUACGGGAGCAGCAGUAGGAAUAUUGGUCAAUGGGCGCAAGCCUGAACCAGCCAUGCCGCGUGCAGGAAGAAGGCCCUCUGGGUUGUAAACUGCUUUUGAUAGGGAACAAAUGCCACUUGCGAGUGGAGCUGAGUGUACCUAUAGAAUAAGCACCGGCUAAACUCCGUGCCAGCAGCCGACGG